RNAcentral lists this ribosomal RNA (1459 nucleotides) under Leuconostoc mesenteroides. RNAcentral's name for it is "bacterial SSU rRNA". It matches the Rfam family "Bacterial small subunit ribosomal RNA". Lineage: Bacteria; Bacillati; Bacillota; Bacilli; Lactobacillales; Lactobacillaceae. The record is from RNAcentral.
GAUGAACGCUGGCGGCGUGCCUAUCAUGCAAGUCGAACGCACAGCGAAAGGUGCUUGCACCUUUCAAGUGAGUGGCGAACGGGUGAGUAACCACGUGGACAACCUGCUUCAAGGCUGGGGAUAACAUUUGGAAACAGAUGCUAAUACCGAAUAAAACUUAGUGUCGCAUGACACAAAGUUAAAAGGCGCUUCGGCGUCACCUAGAGAUGGAUCCGCGGUGCAUUAGUUAGUUGGUGGGGUAAAGGCCUACCAAGACAAUGAUGCAUAGCCGAGUUGAGAGACUGAUCGGCCACAUUGGGACUGAGACACGGCCCAAACUCCUACGGGAGGCUGCAGUAGGGAAUCUUCCACAAUGGGCGAAAGCCUGAUGGAGCAACGCCGCGUGUGUGAUGAAGGCUUUCGGGUCGUAAAGCACUGUUGUAUGGGAAGAACAGCUAGAAUAGGAAAUGAUUUUAGUUUGACGGUACCAUACCAGAAAGGGACGGCUAAAUACGUGCCAGCAGCCGCGGUAAUACGUAUGUCCCGAGCGUUAUCCGGAUUUAUUGGGCGUAAAGCGAGCGCAGACGGUUUAUUAAGUCUGAUGUGAAAGCCCGGAGCUCAACUCCGGAAUGGCAUUGGAAACUGGUUAACUUGAGUGCAGUAGAGGUAAGUGGAACUCCAUGUGUAGCGGUGGAAUGCGUAGAUAUAUGGAAGAACACCAGUGGCGAAGGCGGCUUACUGGACUGCAACUGACGUUGAGGCUCGAAAGUGUGGGUAGCCAAACAGGAUUAGAUACCCUGGUAGUCCACACCGUAAACGAUGAACACUAGGUGUUAGGAGGUUUCCGCUUCUUAGUGCCGAAGCUAACGCAUUAAGUGUUCCGCCUGGGGAGUACGACCGCAAGGUUGAAACUCAAAGGAAUUGACGGGGACCCGCACAAGCGGUGGAGCAUGUGGUUUAAUUCGAAGCAACGCGAAGAACCUUACCAGGUCUUGACAUCCUUUGAAGCUUUUAGAGAUAGAAGUGUUCUCUUCGGAGACAAAGUGACAGGUGGUGCAUGGUCGUCGUCAGCUCGUGUCGUGAGAUGUUGGGUUAAGUCCCGCAACGAGCGCAACCCUUAUUGUUAGUUGCCAGCAUUCAGAUGGGCACUCUAGCGAGACUGCCGGUGACAAACCGGAGGAAGGCGGGGACGACGUCAGAUCAUCAUGCCCCUUAUGACCUGGGCUACACACGUGCUACAAUGGCGUAUACAACGAGUUGCCAACCCGCGAGGGUGAGCUAAUCUCUUAAAGUACGUCUCAGUUCGGAUUGUAGUCUGCAACUCGACUACAUGAAGUCGGAAUCGCUAGUAAUCGCGGAUCAGCACGCCGCGGUGAAUACGUUCCCGGGUCUUGUACACACCGCCCGUCACACCAUGGGAGUUUGUAAUGCCCAAAGCCGGUGGCCUAACCUUUUAGGAAGGAGCCGUCUAAGGCAGGAC